This 492-nucleotide ribosomal RNA is filed under the name uncultured bacterium. Its description in RNAcentral is "partial 16S ribosomal RNA". It matches the Rfam family "Bacterial small subunit ribosomal RNA", at positions 29 to 507 of the family's 1533-position model. The record is from RNAcentral.
AGUGAACGCUGGCGGUAGGCCUAACACAUGCAAGUCGAACGGCAGCACAGUAAGAGCUUGCUCUUACGGGUGGCGAGUGGCGGACGGGUGAGGAAUACAUCGGAAUCUACUUUUUCGUGGGGGAUAACGUAGGGAAACUUACGAUAAUACCGCAUACGACCUACGGGUGAAAGCAGGGGAUCUUCGCACCUUGCGCGAUUGAAUGAGCGGAUGUCGGAUUAGCUAGUUGGCGGGGUAAAGGCCCACCAAGGCGACGAUCCGUAGCUGGUCUGAGAGGAUGAUCAGCCACACUGGAACUGAGACACGGUCCAGACUCCUACGGGAGGCAGCAGUGGGGAAUAUUGGACAAUGGGCGCAAGCCUGAUCCAGCCAUACCGCGUGGGUGAAGAAGGCCUUCGGGUUGUAAAGCCCUUUUGUUGGGAAAGAAAAGCAGCAGGUUAAUACCCCGCUGUUCUGACGGUACCCAAAGAAUAAGCACCGGCUAACUUCGUG